UCAAUAGUAUGCAUUGAUAGUGAUUUUUUUUCUUUCUGAUUUUGUUGGGAAAUGUUCUUUUAACAGAUUCUGUUCUGUUCUCCAGCCAGUCUCAUUAGAUACCUGUGCUGGAGAGCCAGUGUGCAUCAUGUCUGGUGACUCGGAUUUGGCCCUGCGUUGCCCACUCCUGCUGCAUCUUACCCAGUCGAGGGAUGAAAGGUCUUGGCACCUUCCUGAAGCAUGAGAAGAAAGGAGGUUCUGAAAGCACAGAUCCAAGACCACCAGAGGCCGAAGACACCGAUCCCUGGAGGGGCCACUCACACACCGCCAGGAGCCAAGGAGAGCUGGACCUGGAGGAACAUGGACCCAACAAGGAUGGAAAUACCAGCAAUCCCAAAGGUCAUCUACAUCUGUGCCCAGGGAGCUAUGUGGGGCCCACUGAGUGGAAGAUAAUGCAGCGGCUGCUCUGUCACUUUGCAACUGCAGAAGCUGGAACAAGGGCCCAAGAAGCCAAAGAAGCCACACGAGUCCAGUUCCAAAGCUGUCUGAAUGACCCUGAGAGAACUGCCUACCAAAUUAUGACCAGUUGUGCCAACAGACGUUGA
This 584-nucleotide long non-coding RNA is filed under the name Cavia porcellus (domestic guinea pig). RNAcentral describes it as "lncRNA (ENSCPOG00000035574.1)". Lineage: Eukaryota; Metazoa; Chordata; Mammalia; Rodentia; Caviidae. The record is from RNAcentral.